UGGGGAAUAUUGCGCAAUGGGGGGAACCCUGACGCAGCCAUGCCGCGUGAAUGAAGAAGGCCUUCGGGUUGUAAAGUUCUUUCGGUAUUGAGGAAGGUUGAUGUGUUAAUAGCACAUCAAAUUGACGUUAAAUACAGAAGAAGCACCGGCUAACUCCGUGCCAGCAGCCGCGGUAAUACGGAGGGUGCGAGCGUUAAUCGGAAUAACUGGGCGUAAAGGGCACGCAGGCGGUUAUUUAAGUGAGGUGUGAAAGCCCUGGGCUUAACCUAGGAAUUGCAUUUCAGACUGGGUAACUAGAGUACUUUAGGGAGGGGUAGAAUUCCACGUGUAGCGGUGAAAUGCGUAGAGAUGUGGAGGAAUACCGAAGGCGAAGGCAGCCCCUUGGGAAUGUACUGACGCUCAUGUGCGAAAGCGUGGGGAGCAAACAGGAUUAGAUACCCUGGUAGUCCACGCUGUAAACGCUGUCGAUUUGGGGAUUGGGCUUAGAGCUUGGUGCCCGUAGCUAACGUGAUAAAUCGACCGCCUGGGGAGUGCGGCCGCAAGGUUA
This 547-nucleotide ribosomal RNA is filed under the name uncultured bacterium. Its description in RNAcentral is "bacterial SSU rRNA". It matches the Rfam family "Bacterial small subunit ribosomal RNA", at positions 355 to 896 of the family's 1533-position model. The record is from RNAcentral.